CAGGAUCCAAAAUUAUUAUAUUAAGUAUUGUGCAAUAGCAAGAAAUUUUCAAUUGCACAGUAUUCAGCAAUAGCAAGAAAUCUUCAAUUGCACAGAAUUGUGCAAUAGCAAGAAAUCUUCAAUUGCACAGUAGUGUGCAAUAGCAAAUAUUUUCAAUUGCACAGUAUUGCGCAAUAGCAAGAAAUAUCUAAUUGCACAAUAUUGUGCAAUAGCAAGAGAUUUUCAAUUGGAGUUAUUUUUCUUUGUCCAGAAUAGUAGUUGAAUCAACUUAAAUCAUUGUUUUAUAC
This 287-nucleotide long non-coding RNA is filed under the name Mytilus galloprovincialis (Mediterranean mussel). The record is from RNAcentral. Lineage: Eukaryota; Metazoa; Mollusca; Bivalvia; Mytilida; Mytilidae.